UACACGGCCCGUACCCCAAACCGACACAGGUGAUCAGGUAGAGAAUACCAAGGCGAUCGAGAGAACUGUGGUUAAGGAACUCGGCAAAAUGCCCCCGUAACUUCGGGAGAAGGGGGACCAUGCCCGGUGAACAUCUUCACGGUGGGAGCUGGGUGUGGUCGCAGAGACCAGAGAGAAGCGACUGUUUACUAAAAACACAGGUCCGUGCGAAGACGUAAGUCGAUGUAUACGGACUGACGCCUGCCCGGUGCUGGAAGGUUAAGAGGACCGGUUAGCCGUAAGGCGAAGCUGAGAAUUUAAGCCCCAGUAAACGGCGGUGGUAACUAUAACCAUCCUAAGGUAGCGAAAUUCCUUGUCGGGUAAGUUCCGACCUGCACGAAUGGCGUAACGACUUCUCUGCUGUCUCGACCACAGACUCGGCGAAAUUGCACUACGAGUAAAGAUGCUCGUUACGCGCGGCAGGACGAAAAGACCCCGGGACCUUUACUAUAGCUUGGUAUUGGCGUUCGAUUCGGUUUGUGUAGGAUAGGUGGGAGACUGUGAAGCAUGCACGCCAGUGUGUGUGGAGUCGUUGUUGAAAUACCACUCUGAUCGUAUUGGACGUCUAACCUCGGCCCAUGAUCUGGGUUAGGGACAGUGCCUGGUGGGUAGUUUAACUGGGGCGGUUGCCUCCUAAAGAGUAACGGAGGCGCCCAAAGGUUCCCUCAGCCUGGAUGGCAAUCAGGUGUUGAGUGCAAGUGCACAAGGGAGCUUGACUGUGAGACUGACACGUCGAGCAGGGACGAAAGUCGGGACUAGUGAUCCGGCACCGGCAAGUGGAAGCGGUGUCGCUCAACGGAUAAAAGGUACCCCGGGGAUAACAGGCUGAUCUUCCCCAAGAGCCCAUAUCGACGGGAUGGUUUGGCACCUCGAUGUCGGCUCGUCGCAUCCUGGGGCUGGAGUAGGUCCCAAGGGUUGGGCUGUUCGCCCAUUAAAGCGGCACGCGAGCUGGGUUUAGAACGUCGUGAGACAGUUCGGUCUCUAUCCGCCGCGCGCGUAAGAAACUUGAGGAAGGCUGUCCCUAGUACGAGAGGACCGGGACGGACGAACCUCUGGUGUGCCAGUUGUUCCACCAGGAGCAUGGCUGGUUAGCUACGUUCGGAAGGGAUAACCGCUGAAAGCAUCUAAGCGGGAAGCCUGUUCCAAGAUGAGGUUUCUCACCACUUGCGUGGUUAAGGCCCCCUACAGACCAUGGGGUUGAUAGGCCGGAACUGGAAGCGCAGCAAUGCGUGGAGGUGACCGGUACUAAUAGGCCGAGGGCU
Molecule: ribosomal RNA, 1301 nt
Filed under: metagenome
Description: bacterial LSU rRNA
Rfam family: Bacterial large subunit ribosomal RNA
Source: RNAcentral